UAAUGAACCUGCAAAUAUCUUUAGUGUUCCUGGUAUUCGUUCAUCUAGGAGCAAAGAAAAGGAGCUGUCACACCGCAAAAAGAUAAAAUAACUGACACAACAAAUGCAGGGCCAAAAGGCACAAUUCGGAGUACCUCAAGGAUAAUAGGUGCAUAAAAUUCAGUCACAAACACAUAUAAUCCUCACAUUACAUAAAACUCAGUCCUGGAACAUAGCCAGACUAGUAUUAAACAGCUAAAUUUGACCAAACACAGGUAAGGCAACUUCCACAGCCACAACCGCAUAACAAAUCAGGAAUCACUGGGACAAUGCCAUCAUCCCUCAGAGUUUCGCUGCCUGGAUGUCAGAUGAUGCUUCCCCUCCCUCCAAGGCGCCUACUUGGAUCGCUGCCUCAUCUUUCGGCGCUUCCUCUUGAGCCUCCUCAUCCUCUUCUUCUUCCACUGCACAUUAAGACGAAAUGCAGAUCAUCAGUACAAAUUGCAUAGUGCUAGAUGCGCAGGAACAUGAGAUAAUUCCACAUGAAACGAGAAAGUAGUAUGUACUUCAGAAUCAGAAGAUUGAGUGUUUCAUUGGAUAUCAUCACGUGAUUUUCAGAAACACGGACCAAUUGUCCUUCAUCAUUUCCCAAACUGCCAAUUUGGCAUUGCAAAAAGAGAACUAUUCUAAGAAGGUCGUAGCUAUCUACAAACAGGUUAGGCAAAGCAAAGUAGAUCUGCAGUCAGUUUGACAUUCAGAAUGAGUAGGAGGAUUUUAUCAUCAAAUAGAUCAGACGCCAAUUGUCUUCCUCAUCAUGCCAACCGACGCAAUUAUACAAAAUAAAAACAGUGGAAAAUGAGCUAAAGAAAUGGAUAAGCAAACGUUGUUCUCUCAGACAAAUGCCUCGAUUGUCCACACGGUGUAAUAGAAUGGAUUACAUCAGACUCGUCAUCUGUUUUCAUCAUCACAGAGAACAAUGGACAAACGAAAACAGCAAAAAAAAAACAUAAAUCUGGCUAACAUAACUAGAGGCAGUAAUUAGAUCUCAUAGAGCAAGCAAAUCUGGUCGAAAUAGCAGCGGUUCUCUCAGACAAAUUUGCCUCACUUUUGUCCCCACGGUUGAAUGGAAUGGAUUGGAUCGGACAUCUAAUCAGUGUUGAUCAUCACAGAGAACCACUAAUUACGCAAGCGAGCGGUAGCAACGGCGAGAACAAACCCUCGCUAAACACUAGCACAUGUCCAGAUCUACCUCGGUCGCGGAGCAGCUAACAACAGGGAAGGGAGAUGACGGGCAGUACGAACCUUGGCCCUCAUCGCGGCGGCGGAGUCGGUCUCGCUCUCCUGUUCGCGGCGGCGGCGGCGGCGGCGGUGUGUGGACGAACUUAGAUUGUUGACGGCGGGGGCUCUCGCCUCGUACUUAUACGGGCUGGGUGCUGAAGGGGGGGGGAAACCCUAGCGGGGUUGGACGGGUGGACGGCUCGGAUCAGCCAGUGAACGGCGUUCUGAUCCGAUUAGUAAUCUGGUUUGUGGGCCUGUUGGGCCUCCAAACAACGCCUAGGCCCACGCUAACAUUUGACUGGACUUGAUUUCCUGAAGGGGGGAAAAAGAAACUUGACCAGUCUUUACUUUUAUUCUCUUUAUUUUAUAUUACUUUAAAAAGAGUAGUGUUCCUUUUUCUGCCAGACGGAGUGAUUCGUCCAACAUUUUUUUAUAAUCACUAGCAAAAGGCCCGUGUGUUACAACGGGCCAUUGAUAUUUUAGUAUUUCAACACUGAUUGUGCACAUCAAACUGAAAUAUCUCCUUCUAUUGUUAAUUGCUAGUGAAAUAAUCGAGAGGAGAUAAUAUGCCUGAAUAGUGAAGUUGUGAGCAUAGCUUAUUUCUCCUUCUCCUUGACUCAUAUGCAUCAUUUGCUUGGGGGGCAAGCUUGUAGCAGAGUUAAACCCAAAAAAAAGUUGAAUACAAAUCAAGGGAUAUAGCAGCAUUCAACUAAAUUAGUAGUGGAGUAGAGAAGCCCUGGAGCAUAUAAAGUAAAUGAUACCUCUGACAAAGCAGGUUUAAGAAGUGGAUAGUAAGUUUGAAAACAUGAACAAUGCAUAGCAAGCUUUCGUACAUACAAAUUCCCUUGUAUUGAUGAAAACAUAAAUUCACCUAUAAAAAACUAACAAAUUUAGUUUGUAUAUAUACUCUUAGUACACAGUCGAGUCAACACAAACAAUUUGCCUAUGAAAGGAUCAAGUUGGAAUUCCAUUGCUCGAUGGGUGGACGGCUCGGAUCAGCCAGUGGACGGUGUUCUGAUCCGAUUAGUAAUCUGGUUUGUGGGCAUGUUGGGCCUCCAAACAACGCCUAGGCCCAUGCUAACAUUUGACUGGACUUGAUUUCCUGAAGGGGGAAAAAGAAACUUGACCAGUCUUUACUUUUAUUCUCUUUAUUUUAUUACUUAAAAAAGGGAAACGUUUCCUGCGGCGUGCCGGCGGAACGCUUGGCCAGUCGCGUACGCUUCGUUCGAUCGAAAGCGAUCAUGCGGCCCACGUGUGGCCUCACCCCCUCGGCCCCACAUGCUCCCUCUUCCUUAUCCCCAUAUGUUUUCUUUUCCUUAUCCCCUCAAGCACCACUCAUUUUUCUUGCUUAUCCCUCCAUGCCCACCAUUCAUCCCAUGCACCUCUCUCUCCCCCUGGCCUACCUUCAAUCAAUAGCUUGCCGGCGAUGGAAGACGUGUGUGGCGAGCUGGCAGUCCGGGGCUGCACACAUGAAGCCGCGGAGGUGCGUGAGCACGACUCUCGGCGAGCGAAGAGGCGCGACGCCAAAGCUACAUCGGCAACUUGGUAUUUCCACUUUGCAACCUGAUACGACGAGUGGAGGGUGGUUUGCUGCAACCAGUGGCCCCUACUACUACGACCAACGAGGUGGCUGUGCCGUGAAGAUGGACGACGGAUGCGGCGAUUUUUGUGCUGAAACCCACGAUAGCCUCUGCUACAACCGGCCAGCCAUUUUGCUGGAACCAGCAUCGGUAAUUGCUGCCAUCAGUCACGCGAUAUGCUGGAACCAAACGCGCACUCGUCGCCGGCGUUUUUUUUCUUUUGCUAGAGUUGGGUGUUUGAUUUUGCUGGAAGUAGCUAUCCUUUUUGCUACAAAUCGACCACACGAGUUCUCCCUGUUUUGUUGUUUCUGCUGUAUCCAAUGUCUUGUUUUGCUGGAAACAACCAUCUUUUUUGGUACAAAUCGACAACAGGAAUUCUACGUGUUUAGUUGUUUUUCUGCUGCAUCCGAUGUUUCGUUUUGCUGGAACCUAGUAUUUUUUUAUUCAACCGAUCAAUGAAGGAUUGUUGCUUUCAGAUCUUUUUGCUAGAUACUUCAGUGCAAACCGACGCCCACGGCGAGCCGAAACCAGAGCAUGGUGAUGAGCUGGAACCGGCGAGCUUGCUUUGCUGCAAUGAGCCGCAAGCUACUAUGAUCAGCAGGGCGAAGAGCUGGAACGGGCGUCCAUUUUUGCUGGGAUGGGCGCCCAAAUUUGCUGGAACAGGAGUCCCGGGUUGCUGCAUCGUUCGCCGCACAGGGGAGCUACGAUGUUGGCGAGCUGGAACCGGCGCCCAAUUUUGCUGGAGCCGGCAUCUCGACAUGCUGGAACCGUGUGAAGGCAGGCGGCGGCUGAAUGGCUGAUUCGACGCUGAUGGUGUUUUGCUGCGACCAGUGAUGGAAAAGCUUCAACCAUCGGGCGAGUUGUCGAUGGCGUGAGGGGUGACGCCGGGGUGCUGCGGCCGACAACACGGUCGGUGCUGCGCGUUCUACUACAACGAGGAGUCGACCACUAGUUGUUGCAUCCGGCCACGUUGACGCUGCCACCAGCUACAACGAGAAGAUGCCAUGGCGAGCUUCGCCGCCGACGGCCGGCAGCGAAGGUACUCGUGCGGGACGGUGAGCAGAAUUGCGCGCGGCUGCGGCCGCCCGCAAGGGAGAGCCGAUCUGGGCCUUCGUAGACUCUCGUGACAAACGAAACAGCAAGGAGGGACCGGCAGAUGGAGCGGUUAAGGUCACUUCAAUCGAGCGUUGCAUGAGGAACCGGCCGAAAUUUUGGGCCGGUCCGCCGGCGCCUAGUGCUGGCCCUUAAAAAAAAGUAGCGUUCCUUUUUCUGCCAGACGGAGUGAUUUGUCCAACAUGUUUUUCUUGGGAACCGCCUUAAUCAUCUCAUCUUUUUGGUUCAAAAAAAUCGUCUCAUCUUUUAUUGACUUAUCAAAUAAAUUAUAUUUUCUUUCAUAAGUCAAAAUAAGUGAUUACAAAAUAAAAUCAUGGGUAAGAUUUGUUAAGUAUUUUUUUACACAAUCACAUAACAUAAAGAUGUAAAUUAUGGGAUAAUGUAUUGUAAUAUAAUAUAUAAUAUUUAUGCCCCAUAGCGACACGGGCAAAUAUCUAGUUCUGCUAGCAAAAAGACUAAUUACAAAACAAUAAAACUGAGCUAGCUACACGCCACCACAGCGAUUCACCGCUUUUGGCCGUCCGAUCAUUUGUUAGACGCCCCAGAUCUUCCAAUUGUCCACUGGCGGUCGCUUGGUCAUUUUCACCGUGCCUCACCCAAUGUAAAAGGGCUGCUGCUCCGGAAAGCAACCUGUGGGUCAUGUAGUUAAUUGGGCCCAGAAGCAGCCCAAUUGGUUGUGUACGUCAGCCCAUGCUAGGUUUCCUUUCCACAUCGACAGAGAAAAGAAAAGAACAAUUCAUCCUUCUCCUCUUGUUCAUACCCACGGUGCAGGGUGUCUAAUUUCUCAUGUUCCUUUCGUGCUAGGAAGCUCGUGGGGAUUGACCAACUGUCAGUUUGUUGGAGUUUGAUCUGUCCCGAUGGGCGACAAACAUAUAGCUGACUGAAGGCACGAGUAUGGCCUAUGGACUAAAGGAUUUGUUCCUUUCCCUCGGUGGCAACAUCCUAUAUGGCAGUACCUUUUCGCCUCCUUUUACCAGCCGUAUAAUUCAGUGAGUCGUUAGUAACUGUUUUGAUUGGUUGUUAGUAUUCCGGCACUGCCUUAUAUAUGGAUAUUCAUUGUUGAUAUGUGUUACAUGGUGUGAUCCCGAUCGACUCCAAUAUGGACACCCAGGCACCACACCCAGGCUCAUGCAAAUGCUCAAAACAGCCCGGUAACGCCACCACUUGUUGAUCAAAACGUUGUCCUUCUGAGUACUGAUUAGGAUUACAUGCAACCUUCUUGCUGGAAAUACGCUUCUGAAAAAAGAUGCUAAGCUGGCCUGAUAAGAUUGGCAUUAGGCUUUUGCCGUAGGAUCCUGGAACUCUGAAUUCUAGGAACAGCACCUACCAGGUUACCUGAUGUAAUCCGUAUCCUUGCAUGAGGUUUGGAGUACGUGGUUUUUCAAUUUUUGUUGGACAGUUUUAGUCGAGUUAGGUGUGUUCAAGGAUUAGCUUUGGUUUUCCCAUUUUACUCGCUAAGAAAGGUAACUGAAAUUUUGUUUCUGCUCAAUUUCAUUAGGUUGCAAGAAAAUGACUGGUUGAAAUUGCUUUCCUAAACAAAGUAAUAGAUGUACAAUAUUGAUCAACAAAUGGGCAACAAGUCAACAACGACCCAGUAGAAAUUUUAUUGUGCUGAAUAGGGCCAAGUAUAUUAUCAAACCAUUGUUGGUAAGAGGAUAAUUUACUAUGAUUCAGUUGGCAAAGAGGCUCUGAUCUGCAGUUUAAAUGACGAAGAAAUACUGGAACAUGGGGAAGAGAAGCAUGUUUCACAAAAGAAGAAGAUCCGCUAAUAUGGUAAUAAUACAUCCUAGUUAAAUAGAUUGGUUUUUCUGUAUUACGUGCUCUUCUGUCGUGAACUGCAAUUGAUUACCACAACAUGCUAUGUUUUCAUCCGUUCAAGUCUGAAGAAUGGGUACUAUCUAUCAGUCUAUAUGUUUGAAUUUUUUUUCUAAUAUCUCUACUCCUAAUGAAGCAGUUGGUAGCCUGGUACUCCGGUUUUAUUUUCGUCCGGUUUUAUUUCGUCCCACCUCCCACCACUCCGUACUACUGGUUUUUUAUCUAUCUACAAAUCUCCCCUCCCACUGGUUUAAGCCGGUUAUCAAUUUUUGGUAAUGCAAUAAAAGUCAUACGGGAAUAAAUCAUAUCACGGUCGGCAGUUAAUCUCAAACCUGCCAAGAGAUUUGGUAACAGAAUAAAUUCAAAAGGAAGGGUGGGGGAAUGUUCCUAUACAUAAGGAUGGUAAUCUCCAUCGCAUACCAUUUACUCCAGAAUCAAUCGCAUUAAUAAUCUCCAUCGCAUAAAUAAUUACUCCAAAAUCAAUCACAAUCAUAAUCUACAUCGCAUAAUUAACUUCUUCCUAUGACCACCUCGCUCCACCAAUCCCACCUGCCGUUUUCUACCAUCACGAUCGAUUUUCUCGCGUCCUCUCCUACACGCACAAAAAUAUAGGCCCAGCCUCGACCGUGGGCUGGGACUCAUCCGUCGCGCACCGCCUGCUCUGCAACGACGCCCAACGCAACCUCUUCUUUGAUGCCCCCGCGCACCCCUCGCCGCCGCCACCAACGCCCUGCGCGUUCGCCUCUACGGCCUUGAUGAUUGCACCCGCUUUCGUGACGUCCUCGCGCUCAAGCGCCGCCGGCGCAUCCACGCCUGCGUCAGCCAUGCCGAGGAGGUUGAGGAGCCCCUCGAGCCGGCCCUUGCCCUCGCCUGCGUCAACGACCCCGCCCAUCUUGGCGGGGGCGAUUCCCCCAUCGCCCGACUCAUCUCCGACGAGUAUGGCAUCGGUGGGUACGCCGCGUCGUUCGUAUGCUUGGCAGGUUCCAGAACACCCCGCGACGUGUAUGAGGCUGCUAAGCUUGACCAUGGCGAGGGGCUCGUGCUCGAGCUCGACGAGACGCAAUUCGAUCUCGGAACCAACUACGAGCUGGAUGGUGAGACUGCAGAGCAGGCAGGGGGCGCGACGAAGAUGGAAGUGGCGGCAGUUCAAGCUUGUCGCUGCCGAAGACCCUAGAGAGGUGCGUGAAGAGACCUGGUUAGUUUUGUUGGGCCCCACUGGUAGAUGCUCCAUGUCUCCUCCUCUGGUUCCUUGUGCAUUAUUGGGUUGUCUUAAUUUUCAGUCAGGAACACGUAGCCGUGAAUUUUUUUGAUUAAUAUUGAUGUCAUCGUUACAUAUUGGUACCGGGUAGAUUUGAUGUAUUAUUGUUAAGCUCUCAAGACCAGGCCUGGUUUUACAGAUGUUUAGCGCACCGGUUCCUGUUCAUUUACAACACAGCCAUGCGAUCUAUUAAGUGAUGUUUCUCUGAAUUUAUGACAGGUAAACUGCGGUAAUAACAAAUCAGAUGUCAUCUCUCAUCUUGCCGAUUCAACCUUGGAAGAUAUGGUAGAGACGAGAGGCGGUUUGGUCCAUCUGGUGGAAGGGGGAGUGGAGAUAGUAGGAGUGGAAAGCAACUCAGUCCAUCCUGGCGGAAGGGAUAUAUAUAGGCUGACAUGUCAUCGGUGCUGGGCACCACAGGCAAGUGCUGUUUAGUUGAGUCCCAAUCACGAAUUAGAAAAAAAUUCUUUGGGUUCUUGGAUAGAUGCUUAUGGUUUGUUGCGUCAUUUUUCAGGUUCAAUAUGCUGGCUGGCGCCGAGCCUCACUACUGAGUUGAAGAACUACUUGCAACGGUUGCCAAAAGUUGUGUUAAAAAAAUAGGCCCACCUUCAUAAGGAUGAUGUAAAUUGCAGCCAUACUCAGGUUUAUUCUUUGUUCCCUGCAUAUUUUUAUUUAACCACGUUAUGUUUUAGCCACUAGAUGGAAAAUAGAAAAAGGAAACGGAGAGAAUCACUUAUUUUCGUGAUAUGAUAUUUAUUUAAUAGUGAUUGCUAUUUGUUUUGAAUAUUUAAGCAUAAGGAUACCACAAUUAAAUUAUGGUUACAACACGAAAGUUGUAGAGUAGUUAAUCUCUAUCUCUACUCCUAAAGGGGGAGUUGGUAGCCCGGUGCGCAGGUUUAUUUUCGCCUCACCGAUUUAUUCUCCCUCACCUCCCAGCAUCCCCUCCACGCUGGGUUUUCUCCGUCCGACUAAAAACCAAAUCAAUUUGCAUGAUCCUCCUUGUUUGUUUUUCGGCUAAUGUCCUCCUAUCCUAGAGCAUGUUCAUCUGACUAAUCUUCUUAGUUAAUGCCCUCCUUGCCUGGAUCAUGUUCAUCCGAUUGACAAAGGCUUGGCCAUCUUGUAAUAGUAGAUGGUGAAGUGGAUAUAUAUACUACUCCCUCCGUCCGAAAAUACUUGUCAUCAAAAUGAAUAUAAAGGGAUGUAUCUAGAACUAAAAUAUGUUUAGAUACAUCUCUUUUUAUCCAUUUUGAUAACAAGUAUUUCCGGACAGAGGGAGUGCUUCAGUUUGCAUGAGAACAACCGCUUAUAUGUGUGCCUCAAUAGUAAAGUAGGAUUGCUUGGAUUAUUUUCUGUAGUAUUUUUUCCAGUUUUAAAUGUUUAGUUUCUUAACUUAUUAUGAGGCUUGCAUCGAUCAAAGAAAUCAUGCUCCCUUGGCUUAAUCAAAUGUACUUAUGUUUGCUAAUUUAUUUUUAGUGUGUGUUUCCUCCUACUAUCUUAUUAUUCUAUAGCUAACUAUAUUUUGGAAUCUGGUGGGUGCAAAGAAAAUGGCAGUUUCUAGAUUUCUGUAGUAUUUCUGGGUAACAACAGGUUCCAAAGUGACGGGCAUUGCUAAAUCAGAUAACAUACUAUUCAAAAAGAGAACACAUUCAUCCCUUCAUUUUAGAGAUUCAAUAAAGCAAGCAAAACUUGGAAUCCAAGUCAGAAUACCAACUAUUGUACUACUGAAUGCACAUUUAUUUGCCGACAUGAAACUAUCUAUCACAUGUAGGUGUGUUUGCUCCUCGGAGCAUAGCAAAAUGAUAUGCUCUUACAUAAACAUUAUCUUGCUUACAGUGUUAAUUCAAAGCCUUAAUUCAAGGUCGGAUCUUGCUUACAAUGUCAAUAUAAUCGCUUUUAAUCUCUUUCAAGAUUAAUAAACUGCACAUGCAUGGCACGCAAAUAGGACAAACUUGACUAGAUCUACACAUAUAUUUUUAUCACUUCUAAUAUCUCAUCGACUGUUUACAUGCCAUAUUGCAUACCAAGAAUACAAGAGUGCUGACUUUAUUUUAUUUUAUUUUAUUUUAUUUUAUUUUAUUUCUGAAAUAGUUCCCAAUUAGGCUUACAAUUAUUUUAUAUUAGUGUUACUUCCUUUGUCAAGCUUAUGAAGAAUGUAUUUCCUUGAACAGUAUUUCAUCCAUUUGGAUUUAGGUGACAUGUGUGGUGGCACGAGAAAAUGGAAGGCCCUAAGCUGAAGGAGAGCAUCAAUUGACAUGAGUGAUAAGCAAUAUCUAUUAGAAACACAUACUAUCAGGCUAAUGCAAACCACUUGGGUAUGAAGUAUACUUACCACAACUUUCUAGGUGUUGAUCAACUUGUGUUUUCUUGUUAGUAAAAGAAACAUGUUGUUUUUUUGUGGUUCAUGGAUUCAUGCUCAAUGUUGAAUUAUUAUCUGAUCUGCAGAAGCAUGUCUUACUGCUGCUCAAGGUCACAUGAUUUAUAAUUUAUAACUACAAUUAUUUAAAUCAGUAUCUUGCACGAAGUCCUGACAUCUGGCUUUAUCAAAGAUUCCACUAUGUUUAUUUCUCCAUCAUAUCGCACAAUGAAUAAUAACAGUAGAUAGAUAUCCCCUUUUUAUGCAAUGAAUUUCAUGAAAUAAAACAGCGUCCAUCACCGUCUCUGAUGUAAUCUUAAGUGCACAUGCAUGGCUUAAUGUCACUGCUAUCUCGUAGUUUCACAUGCUAUUCAAGUUUACGGCAUACAGUACUUAACAUAUAAGUUGUGUCAUAGUAUUAGUGUCAUCUUUGGCUGCUUCCUUUCUUGAAUUUUCCGAUGACAGUGUACAUGCCUUAACAUAUUCGAAGUUGUUGAUUUUUUUGUUGCAAAUAUAAUAUUUAGUAAUUUAACGUGAGCCCUUGCAGGUCCAAUUAAAGCUAUUUGACCAGAAGCUAGGUGAUAUGUGCUCAAAAGAAUCUACCCUGUUAUGCACCAGUUUUUUGCCUUAACAUUGUUUCUGCAAUUACACUAUAUAUCUUGUAUUAACUGGAUUUUUAAGAUGACGAUUAAGGAAUUCAUCUACAAUUAGGAACUUACUUCGCGACAAGGAAGGUCCAGUGGUUGGGCAACAACAUGUGGAAGGAUAAUUACUGGAUACAUUUUUUUAGCGAACAACAGCGGAGCGAUUUGAUGUCUCAAAACAUGUAAGCUGACUUGCCCUCCAUGGAAUGGAAUGACUACAAAAACUUUUGUCAUUUCAUCUAAGAAUAUUUUAAAUUAGUUAAUAAAUCAUACAGACUUGAUAUUUUCUUGGUCUCAUGCAACUAUGUGUGGUUUCUUACUUUACUCCACAAUCAUCUGUGGCAAUUAUGAGGUAUUUUUCGCCAUUCGUAUUUAUUCCUUAAUUUUACUAUGAAUAUAUGAGAGUACACACCAAGGGGUUCGCAAAAAGUACAAAAAAACUAGGAGACAAGCACGAGUCACCUUAUGAGGUGAUGAUGUAGGAGACACAAUGAGGUGAAAGAGACGUGAUGGACAUAGAAGAGUAAACCCACGAGGAUAAAGAGAUGUCAUGCACAUAGAAGGAGGAAGCGAGGACCUCGAUCCACAUUAUCAAAGACAUAGAUAAGAACAAGAGUAUCACACUUCCCACAUCGACCAACUAAUGACACAUGUUGCUAUUGGGGCAUAUCACCCUCCCUUGCAUUAUACAUAUUAAUAUUAAGAUGAAACACUUCGUUGAAUGCAUUUCUAUUAUAUUGUUCUAUGGCAACACCCGAGCAUUCUGCUAGAAAGGAUGCUCGGGUGUAGACAGAAUCAUAUAUUAUAUCAUUAUUAGUAUCAACAUGUUUCUAAAUGUUUUCAUACUCAGUAUAUGAUGUUAGAUUCAACAUGAGAUCUAAAGUUUUGUGUGAAGCCAAAUAUGCAGGUGUUAGCAAUACUGUUUGAUAGCUUGGGGGUACGAUGUGGCAAACGCGCAACGGCUGGCUAGCUGUGUUGGAGAGCAAGAGAUGUCCAGCGAGAAACAUCCCACUACAUGUUGGGGAAUGUAGUAAUUUCAAAAAAUUUCCUACGCACACGCAAGAUCAUGGUGAUGCAUAGCAACGAGAAGGGAGAGUGUUGUCUACGUACCCACGCAGACCGACUGCGGAAGCAUUGACACAACAUAGAGGAAGUAGUCGUACGUCUUCCCGAUCCGACCGAUCCAAGCACCGUUACUCCGGCACCUCCGAGUUCUUAGCACACGUACAGCUCGAUGACGAUCCCCGGGCUCCGAUCCAGCAAAGCGUCGGGGAAGAGUUCCGUCAGCACGACGGCGUGGUGAUGAUCUUGAUGUUCUACCGACGCAGGGCUUCGCCUAAGCACUACAACGAUAUGAUCGAGGUGGAAUAUGGUGGCAGGGGGCACCGCACACGGCUAAGAAAUGAUCUCAAGGAUCAACUUGUGUGUCUAGAGGUGCCCCCCUGCCCCUGUAUAUAAAGGAGCCAAGGAGGAGGGGCUGGCUGGCCAAGGAGGGUGCGCCAGGAGAGUCCUACUCCCUCUGGGAAUAGGAUUCCCCCCCAAUCCUAGUUGGAAUAGGAUUCCUUAAGGGGGGGAAAGGAGAGGGGGGGCCGGCCACCUCUUCUAGUCCUAAUAGGACUAGGGGAGGGGGGAGGCGCGCGGCCACCUUGGGCUGCCCCUUUCUUCUUUCCACUAAAGCCCAUUAAGGCCCAUAUAGCUCCCGGGGGGUUCCGGUAACCUCCCGGUACUCCGGUAAAAUCCUGAUUUCACCCGGAACACUUCCGAUAUCCAAACAUAGGCUUUCAAUAUAUCAAUCUUUAUGUCUCGACCAUUUCAAGACUCCUCGUCAUGUCCGUGAUCACAUUCGGGACUCCGAACUAACUUCGGUACAUCAAAAUGCAUAAACUCAUAAUAACUGUCAUCGUAACGUUAAGCGUGCGGACCCUACAGUUCGAGAAUAAUGUAGACAUGACUGAGACACAUCUCCAGUCAAUAACCAAUAGCGGGACCUGGAUGCCCAUAUUGGCUCCUACAUAUUCUACGAAGAUCUUUAUCGGUCAGACCGCAUAACAACAUACGUUGUUCCCUUUGUCAUCGAUAUGUUACUUGCCCGAGAUUCGAUCGUCGGUAUCCAAUACCUAGUUCAAUCUCGUUACCGGCAAGUCCCUUUACUCGUUCUGUAAUACAUCAUCCCGCAACUAACUCAUUAGUUGCAAUGCUUGCAAGGCUUAUGUGAUGUGCAUUACCGAGAGGGCCCAGAGAUACCUCUCCGACAAUCGGAGUGACAAAUCCUAAUCUCGAAAUACGCCAACCCAACAUCUACCUUUGGAGACACCUGUAGAGCUCCUUUAUAAUCACCCAUUUACGUUGUGACGUUUGGUAGCACAGAAAGUAUUCCUCCGGCAAACGGGAGUUGCAUAAUCUCAUAGUCAUAGGAACAUGUAUAAGUCAUGAAGAAAGCAAUAGCAACAUACUAAACGAUCGGGUGCUAAGCUAAUGGAAUGGGUCAUGUCAAUCAGAUCAUUCAACUAAUGAUGUGACCUCGUUAAUCAAAUAACAACUCUUUGUUCAUGGUUAGCAAACAUAACCAUCUUUGAUUAACGAGCUAGUCAAGUAGAGGCAUACUAGUGACACUCUGUUUGUCUAUGUAUUCACACAUGUAUUAUGUUUUCGGUUAAUACAAUUCUAGCAUGAAUAAUAAACAUUUAUCAUGAUAUAAGGAAAUAAAUAAUAACUUUAUUAUUGCCUCUAGGGCAUAUUUCCGUCAGUCUCCCACUUGCACUAGAGUCAAUAAUCUAGAUUACACUGUAAUGAUUCUAACACCCAUGGAGUCUUGGUGUUGAUCAUGUUUUGCUCGUGGAAGAGGCUUAGUCAACGAGUCUGCAACAUUCAGAUCUGUAUGUAUCUUGCAAAUCUCUAUGUCUCCCACCUGGACUAGAUUCCGGAUGGAAUUGAAGCGUCUCUUGAUGUGCUUGGUCCUUUUGUGAAAUCUGGAUUCCUUUGCCAAGGCAAUUGCACCAGUAUUGUCACAAAAGAUUUUCAUUGGACCCGAUGCACUAGGUAUGACACCUAGAUCGGAUAUGAACUCCUUCAUCCAGACUCCUUCGUUCGCUGCUUCCGAAGCAGCUAUGUACUCCGCUUCACAUGUAGAUCCCGCUAUGACGCUUUGUUUAGAACUGCACCAACUGACAGCUCCACCGUUUAAUGUAAACACGUAUCCGGUUUGCGAUUUAGAAUCGUCCGGAUUAGUGUCAAAGCUUGCAUCAACGUAACCUUUUACGGUGAGCUCUUUGUCACCUCCAUAUACGAUAAACAUAUCCUUAGUCCUUUUCAGGUAUUUCAGGAUGUUCUUGACCGCUGUCCAGUGAUCCACUCCUAGAUUACUUUGAUACCUUCCUCCUAGACUUAUAGCAAGGCACACAUCAGGUCUGGUACACAGCAUUGCAUACAUGAUAGAGCCUAUGGCUGAAGCAUAGGGAACAUCUUUCAUUUUCUCUCUAUCUUCUGCAGUGGUCGGGCAUUGAGUCUGACUCAACUUCACACCUUGUAACAUAGGCAAGAACCCUUUCUUUGCUUGAUCCAUUUUGAACUUCUUCAAAAUCUUGUCAAGGUAUGUGCUUUGUGAAAGUCCAAUUAAGCGUCUUGAUCUAUCUUUAUAGAUCUUUAUGCCUAAUAUGUAAGCAGCUUCACCGAGGUCUUUCAUUGAAAAACUCUUAUUCAAGUAUCCCUUUAUGCUAUCCAGAAAUUCUAUAUCAUUUCCAAUCAGUAAUAUGUCAUCCACAUAUAAUAUCAGAAAUGCUACAGAGCUCCCACCCACUUUCUUGUAAAUACAGGCUUCUCCGAAAGUCUGUAUAAAACCAAAUGCUUUGAUCACACUAUCAAAGCGUUUAUUCCAACUCCGAGAGGCUUGCACCAGUCCAUAAAUGGAUCGCUGGAGCUUGCACACUUUGUUAGCUCCUUUUGGAUUGACAAAACCUUCCAGUUGCAUCAUAUACAACUCUUCUUCCAGAAAUCCAUUCAGGAAUGCAGUUUUGACAUCCAUCUGCCAAAUUUCAUAAUCAUAAAAUGCGGCAAUUGCUAACAUGAUUCGGACAGACUUAAGCAUCGCUACGGGUGAGAAGGUCUCAUCGUAGUCAACCCCUUGAACUUGUCGAAAACCUUUUGCGACAAGUCGAGCUUUGUAGACAGUAACAUUACCAUCAGCGUCAGUCUUCUUCUUGAAGAUCCAUUUAUUCCCAAUUGCUUGCCGAUCAUCGGGCAAGUCAACCAAAGUCCAUACUUUAUUCUCAUACAUGGAUCCCAUCUCAGAUUUCAUGGCUUCAAGCCACUUUGCGGAAUCUGGGCUUACCAUCGCUUCUUCAUAGUUUGUAGGUUCAUCAUGAUCUAGCAGCAUGAUUUCCAGAACAGGAUUACCGUACCACUCUGGUGCGGAUCUCGCUCUGGUUUAUCUACGAGGUUCAGUAGUAUCUUGUCCUGAAGUUUCAUGAUCAUCAUCAUUAGCUUCCUCACUAAUUGGUAUAGGUGUCGCAGAAACAGUUUUCUGUGAUGUACUACUUUCCAAUAAGGGAGCAGGUACAGUUACCUCGUCAAGUUCUACUUUCCUCCCACUCACUUCUUUCGAGAGAAACUCUUUCUAUAGAAAGGAUCCAUUCUUAGCAACGAAUAUCUUGCCUUCGGAUCUGUGAUAGAAGGUGUACCCAACAGUCUCCUUUGGGUAUCCUAUGAAGACACAUUUCUCCAAUUUGGGUUCGAGCUUAUCAGGUUGAAGCUUUUUCACAUAAGCAUCGCAGCCCCAAACUUUAAGAAACGACAACUUUGGUUUCUUGCCAAACCACAGUUCAUAAGGCGUCGUCUCAACGGAUUUUGAUGGUGCCCUAUUUAACGUGAAUGCGGCCGUCUCUAAAGCAUAACCCCAAAACGAUAGUGGUAAAUCAGUAAGAGACAUCAUAGAUCGCACCAUAUCUAGUAAAGUACGAUUACGACGUUCGGACACACCAUUACGCUGUGGUGUUCCGGGUGGCAUGAGUUGCGAAACUAUUCCACAAUUUUUCAAAUGUACACCAAACUCGUAACUCAAAUAUUCUCCUCCACGAUCAGAUCGUAGAAACUUUAUUUUCUUGUUACGAUGAUUUUCAACUUCACUCUGAAAUUCUUUGAACUUUUCAAAUGUUUCAGACUUGUGUUUCAUCAAGUAGAUAUACCCAUAUCUGCUUAAAUCAUCUGUGAAGGUGAGAAAAUAACGAUAUCCGCCACGAGCCUCAAUAUUCAUCGGACCACAUACAUCGGUAUGUAUGAUUUCCAACAAAUCUGUUGCUCUCUCCAUAGUACCGGAGAACGGUGUUUUAGUCAUCUUGCCUAUGAGGCAUGGUUCGCAAGUACCAAGUGAUUCAUAAUCAAGUGGUUCCAAAAGUCCAUCAGUAUGGAGUUUCUUCAUGCGCUUUAUACCGAUAUGACCUAAAACGGCAGUGCCACAAAUAAGUUGCACUAUCAUUAUCAACUCUGCAUCUUUUGGCUUCAACAUUAUGAAUAUGUGUGUUACUACUAUCGAGAUUCAUCAAAAAUAGACCACUCUUCAAAGGUGCAUGACCAUAAAAGAUAUUACUCAUAUAAAUAGAACAACCAUUAUUCUUUGAUUUAAAUGAAUAACCGUCUCGCAUCAAACAAGAUCCAGAUAUAAUGUUCAUGCUCAAUGCUGGCACCAAAUAACAAUUAUUUAGGUCUAAUAUUAAUCCCGAAGGUAGAUGUAGAGGUAGCGUGCCGACCGCGAUCACAUCGACUUUGGAACCGUUUCCCACGCGCAUCGUCACCUCGUCCUUUGUCAGUGUUUGCUUAAUCCGUAGUCCCUGUUUCGAGUUGCAAAUAUUAGCAACAGAACCAGUAUCAAAUACCCAGGUGCUACUGCAAGCUCUAGUAAGGUACACAUCAAUAACAUAUAUAUCACAUAUACCUUUGUUCACCUUGCCAUCCUUCUUAUCCGCCAAAUACUUGGGGUAGUUCCGCUUCCAGUGACCAGUCUGCUUGCAGUAGAAACACUCAGUUUCAGGCUUAGGUCCAGACUUGGGUUUCUUCUCCUGAGCAGCAACUUGCUUACUGUUCUUCUUGAAGUUCCCCUUCUUCUUCCCUUUACCCUUUUUCUUGAAACUAGUGGUCUUGUUAACCAUCAACACUUGAUGCUCCUUCUUGAUUUCUACCUCCGCAGCUUUCAGCAUUGCGAAGAUCUCGGGAGUAGUCUUGUUCAUCCCUUGCAUAUUAUAGUUCAUCACAAAGCUCUUGUAGCUUGGUGGCAGUGAUUGGAGAAUUCUGUCAAUGAUGCAAUCAUCUGGAAGAUUAACUCCCAUCUGAAUCAAGUGAUUAUUAUACCCAGACAUUUUGAGUAUAUGCUCACUGACAGAACUGUUCUCCUCCAUCUUGCAGCUAUAGAACUUAUUGGAGACUUCAUAUCUCUCAAUCCGGGCAUUUGCUUGAAAUAUUAACUUCAACUCCUGGAACAUCUCAUAUGCUCCAUGACGUUCAAAACGUCGUUGAAGUCCCGAUUCUAAGCCGUAAAGCAUGGCACACUGAACUAUCGAGUAGUCAUCAGCUUUGCUCUGCCAGACGUUCAUAACAUCAGGUAUUGCUCCAGCAGCAGGCCUGGCACCCAGCGGUGCUUCCAGGACGUAAUUCUUCUGAGCAGCAAUGAGGAUAAUCCUCAAGUUACGGACCCAGUCCGUGUAAUUGCUACCAUCAUCUUUCAACUUUGCUUUCUCAAGGAAUGCAUUAAAAUUCAACGGGACAACAGCACGAGCCAUCUAUCUACAAUCAACAUAAACAAGCAAGAUACUAUCAGGUACUAAGUUCAUGAUAAGUUUAAGUUCAAUUAAUCAAAUUACUUAAGAACUCCCACUUAGAUAGACAUCCCUCUAAUCCUCUAAGUGAUCACGUGAUCCAAAUCAACUAAACCAUAACCGAUCAUCACGUGAGAUGGAGUAGUUUUCAAUGGUGAACAUCGUUAUGUUGAUCAUAUCUACUAUAUGAUUCACGUUAGACCUUUCGGUCUCCGUGUUCCGAGGCCAUAUCUGCAUAUGCUAGGCUCGUCAAGUUUAACCUUAGUAUUCUGCGUGUGCAAAAACUGGCUUGCACCCGUUGUAGAUGGACGUAGAGCUUAUCAUACCCAAUCAUCACGUGGUGUCUGGGCACGACGAACUUUGGCAACGGUGCAUACUCAGGGAGAACACUUCUUGAUAAUUUAGUGAGAGAUCAUCUUAUAAUGCUACCGUCAAUCAAAGCAAGAUAAGAUGCAUAAAAAGAUAAACAUCACAUGCAAUCAAUAUAAGUGAUAUGAUAUGGCCAUCAUCAUCUUGUGCUUGUGAUCUCCAUCUCCGAAGCAUCGUCAUGAUCACCAUCGUCACCGGCGCGACACCUUGAUCUCCAUCGUAGCAUCGUUGUCGUCUCGCCAAUCUUAUGCUUCUACGACUAUCGCUACCGUUUAGUGAUAAAGUAAAGCAUUACAUCGCGAUUGCAUUGCAUACAAUAAAGCGACAACCAUAUGGCUCCUGCCAGUUGCCGAUAACUUGGUUACAAAACAUGAUCAUCUCAUACAAUAAAAUUUAGCAUCAUGUCUUGGCCAUAUCACAUCACAACAUGCCCUGCAAAAACAAGUUAGACGUCCUCUACUUUGUUGUUGCAAGUUUUACGUGGCUGCUACGGGCUUAAGCAAGAACCAAUCUCACCUACGCAUCAAAACCACAACGAUAGUUUGUCAAAUAGACUCCGUUUUAACCUUCGCAAGGACCGGGCGUAGCCACACUCGGUUCAACUAAAGUUGGAGAGACAGUCGCCCGCAAGCCACCUAUGUGCAAAGCACGUCGGGGAAACCGGUCUCGCGUAAGCGUACGCGUAAUGUUGGUCCGGGUCGUCUCGUCCAACAAUACCGUUGAACCAAAGUAUGACAUGGCAGUAUGACUUAUAUCGCCCACAACUCACUUGUGUUCUACUCGUGCAAAUAACAUCAAACCAUAAAACCUAGGCUCGGAUGCCACUAUUGGGGAACAUAGUAAUUUCAAAAAAAUUCCUAUGCACACGCAAGAUCAUGGUGAUGCAUAGCAACGAGAAGGGAGAGUGUUGUCUACGUACCCACGCAGACCGACUGCGGAAGCAUUGACACAACAUAGAGGAAGUAGUCGUACGUCUUCCCGAUCCGACCGAUCCAAGCACCGUUACUCCGGCACCUCCGAGUUCUUAGCACACGUACAGCUCGAUGACGAUUCCCGGGCUCCGAUCCAGCAAAGCGUCGGGGAAGAGUUCCGUCAGCACGACGGCGUGGUGACGAUCUUGAUGUUCUACCGACGCAGGGCUUCGCCUAAGCACUACAACGAUAUGAUCGAGGUGGAAUAUGGUGGCAGGAGGCACCGCACACAGCUAAGGAACGAUCUCAAGGAUCAACUUGUGUAUCUAGAGGUGCCCCCCUGCCCCUGUAUAUAAAGGAGCCAAGGGGGAGGGGCUGGCUGGCCAAGGAGGGUGCGCCAGGAGAGUCCUACUCCCUCUGGGAGUAGGAUUCCCCCCCCCCCCCAAUCCUAGUUGGAAUAGGAUUCCUUAAGGGGGGGGGAAGAGAGAGAGGGGGGCCGGCCACCUCUCCUAGUCCUAAUAGGACUAGGGGAGGGGGGAGGCGCGCGGCCACCUUGGGCUGCCCCUUUCUUCUUUCCACUAAAGCCCACUAAGGCCCAUAUAGCUCCCGGGGGGUUCCGGUAACCUCCCGGUACUCCGGUAAAAUCCCGAUUUCAUCCGGAACACUUCCGAUAUCCAAACAUAGGCUUCCAAUAUAUCAAUCUUUAUGUCUCGACCAUUUUGAGACUCGUCGUCAUGUCCGUGAUCACAUCCGGGACUCCGAACUAACUUCGGUACAUCAAAAUGCAUAAACUCAUAAUAACUGUCAUCGUAACGUUAAGCGUGCGGACCCUACGGUUCAAGAAUAAUGUAGACAUGACUGAGACACAUCUCCGGUCAAUAACCAAUAGUGGGACCUGGAUGCCCAUAUUGGCUCCUACAUAUUCUACGAAGAUCUUUAUCGGUCAGACCGCAUAACAACAUGCGUUGUUCCCUUUGUCAUCGGUAUGUUACUUGCCCGAGAUUCGAUCGUCGGUAUCCAAUACCUAGUUCAAUCUCGUUACCGGCAAGUCUCUUUACUCGUUCUGUAAUACAUCAUCCCGCAACUAACUCAUUAGUUGCAAUGCUUGCAAGGCUUGUGUGAUGUGCAUUACCGAGAGGGCCCAGAGAUACCUCUCCGACAAUCGGAGUGACAAAUCCUAAUCUUGAAAUACGCCAACCCAACAUCUACCUUUGGAGACACCUGUAGAGCUUCUUUAUAAUCACCCAUUUACGUUGUGACGUUUGGUAGCACAGAAAGUAUUCCUCCGGCAAACGGGAGUUGCAUAAUCUCAUAGUCAUAGGAACAUGUAUAAUUCAUGAAGAAAGCAAUAGCAACAUACUAAACGAUCGGGUGCUAAGCUAAUGGAAUGGGUCAUGUCAAUCAGAUCAUUCAACUAAUGAUGUGACCUCGUUAAUCAAAUAACAACUCUUUGUUCAUGGUUAGCAAACAUAACCAUCUUUGAUUAACGAGCUAGUCAAGUAGAGGCAUACUAGUGACACUCUGUUUGUCUAUGUAUUCACACAUGUAUUAUGUUUCCGGUUAAUACAAUUCUAGCAUGAAUAAUAAACAUUUAUCAUGAUAUAAGGAAAUAAAUAAUAACUUUAUUAUUGCCUCUAGGGCAUAUUUCCUUCACUACAAUGGGAAACCGAGCGGGAAGGGGAGAGUCAGAUAGGAAAACCGAAGUUUUUGUCGUGGGAUGGGGGUUUUGUGUUGCGCCCUUGGGUUGGAGAUAACAAAUGGCGGAUAGUCCGGACAAUGACAUUUCUCCCCCACAUAUGAUCUGGAUUUCGGAAAGUCUGGACUGUCCAGACGGUUGAAUUUUGGGGAGCCCAUUGGGCACCGGACGUAUGAGGAAGAAAUGAGUUUCGAAUUUAAAGACGACUUUAAUCAUUUAUUUAAUUCAUUUAUGUGUGUUGUAGCCCGUAGCAACGCACGGGCAUUCUACUAGUAUAAGUUAUAACUCUGCUAUACUGCCAAUUUCUUGCAUGCUCAUAUGUAUGUUGUAUGGCAUUUAAUUUCUUUUGGUGGUCCUUUCCCUCUUUGAAUUGAAUGCCAACAUAGUAGAACAUGUACUGCAUAAGGUUCAGCAGGCUGGGUCUAACAAGGUAAAUCAUUAUUUCUCAUGCGGAAGUUUGCAGGAUUAUGCACACACAUUGUUUCGUUUCGUUGACCAUAGAACAUGAUUUGCUCUUUAUUUUCUCUCCUAUGCCUAAGGCUUUGAGCUCCUUCGAAAUCAUUACUAUAAUGAAAAGGAUGAGAAGUGAGUCCUUUAGACAUGGAACACACAUAAGUUCUUUGAAGAUCAUUUUAUUUGGGAUGUCAAUAACAGUUCUACCAAUUUGCAUCAAUUGUUUAUAUGCUAUACAAACCAUCACUUGGCCCUCUAUUGUCAUUAAUCAGAUGCACGGAAUUUGUGAAUAUAUAAAUAUUCUGGCUGAAGAUAGAACCAACUUGUGAUGGUUCCAUGUGGUACAUAUAACUGAAAUUGGUCAGAUGUUUCUAUAUUUCUUUCGUUAAGACAUCUUUUUUCCUUUGUUAAGAUGUGUCUAAGAUGGGCGGGCGCCGCAACGCGCGCCUUUAUGAUCUAGUACAGCGUGAUGGCGCUGGUGCGCAACUGUUGGUGCAGCACAUUCACCAUUAAUUAUAUUGUUUUUAACACAGUAUAAACGUAAGUGCUCAUAUAUUUAUACGCGCAUAUAUUCACCCCUUGUGAAUGCACGUACGCACACUCUAUCCCUAUGAGCACCUCUGAAAGACUGAGUUAGUAUAUUAUCUAAAUUUUACAAAGUCACCAUAGGCGCCUAUCCGGGAUAAAUGCAAGCAUCAUGACUUGAAUUCUGAUGGGCUGGGGAUAUCACUGUGCUCCUAACCAUUCAACCACAUAUUGGUUCACCGGGACUAAUCAUACCGGUGUAGCCAAGUCUUAUUUAAAAACUAUGGACCAAACUUCAUCCCAUAUAGUUGAACAACACUAGGGGUAGAAACGGAUCGGAUGCGGAUCGGAUAGUGCUCUUGCCACUUCCAUUUUCAUAUUUUCAAAACGAAUACGAAUUCGAAUACGGAUGUUAUCGGAUACGGAUGCGGCUCGGAUAUUAUUCAAAUACGGAUACGUAUCGGAUAUUUUCUUGAUUCGGAACGGAUACGAAUAAUAUCAACAUAUUGCUUAAGUAAAUCAGUCGAUAGCUAUGUGAACUGAAAUAAUCAACUUGUGACAUACAAUAAGUCAAUGAUAAAUAGGUUUAUGAAUAAAUACUAUUGUAAUGCAUAAUAAUUUAUAAGUUUAAUCAUAUAAAGAGUAAAAUUUGACCACUUAUUUGGCUUUUAUGUUGGAUAAUUGGAAUAUUGAGUCUAGAAAUUUGAAAAUUACCUCCCAUAAUCUUAUUCGGAUACGGAUAUAUCCACUUUCAUAUCCAUGUUUGUCUCAAAAUCUCCUACCAUAUUUUAUUUUUUAUUUGUUUAAUAAAUUCGGAUACGGAUAAUUUCCAUUUCCAUUUUGGUUCGGAUGCGGAUGUUUCGGAUACAAAUAGGCAUUUUCUCGAAUACGAAUAUCGGAUAUUUCGGAUUAUCCGCUAUCAAUUUCCACCCCUAAACAACACGCUGUUGCGGUCUGAUGUAGUUGCUACUCAUUUGUUUCUAAAGUAACUUGUAAUCAACUACUUCUUCCGUUUUGAAAUAGAUGACUCAACUUUAUACAAAGUUAGUAUAAAGUUGAGUCAUCUAUUUUGGAACGGAGGGAGUACUUCUGAUGAGAACAAAUCAAUAAAGUACCUUGUAAUCAAACUACUGAGAUAAUUUGUACCUUCUCUCCGUACCCAUGUAUAAUCAAGUAGCCUCUUAAUGUACUUUUCCUUUUUCUUCUUUGAAGCAAGUUUAUGAAGAAAAGAAUGAUGUAUUCUGAUCUCCAUGAAGCAACCAAUUAGCUCGUCCUCUCUAUAAAAACAAUUCUUCAUGAUACCGAAGAUUCUCAAUAUCUAGCCUAACAAAAAGAAGGUUAUCAAUAUUUGAAGAUCUUUUUUAUCCCUAAUCUCCCCGUCAGAUCACUUUGUCUCCAUUUCUGAAGGUCUUUUUUUAGCUUCGAUAUCCUCUUAUUUGGGCCUUUCAGAACCUCCAGAUCCCUCUGGUGUAGAUCUUUAUGAACAGCCUUGGUACAAUCAGGCAAGGGUGGCCUAGCUUGCUGGAUCCCAAGCCAAUUGGACUACCGCAUUGACGGUUUCUUCACACAACCAACGGGCUUCAAACUAUUUUCGGGCCUUCGAUUGUUGAGACAAAACAAAUUUUAAAAAAAUAUGAAGGAAAAUAGAUCAAUGGUCUGAAUGGACACGGUGCUCAUGAACCAACGCAUAUGGCAAUUUAUCCGCACACGCCUCAUUACUUGGUGAUGCCCUGGCUCCAGGUAAACUGAUCACCAAUAACAGUGGUCUGUUGAAGUCCACACAACCUCUGAAAUUAUGCAUCAAUUGUUGAGGUCGAACAUUACCACCCUCCUUCUCACUUGCAACCAAUCUCUCAUUAAAAUCACAGUAACUAACCAUGGACCAGCCGCAUUCCGUUGCGCGAGUAUGUCCAGGACAGGUGCUUCCUAUCCCAAGUUGGUUGUCCAUAAUAUCCUGUCAAGCGCCAUGAAGCAUCAUUUUCACCCAUAACAAUUGCAUCAAUAAAUUUUUCUAAAGAAUAGUUCAACACCACUUUAUUAGAUUGGUUAUAAAAAAGGACAAGGUUCCCCGAGCGACCAUCACUCUUUUUUUUUCAAGAAACUUCCAAUCUAUUUAUCGUCAAUCAUGGUGGUACAACAAACACCAGAAAUAAUAAAAAUUACAUCGAGAUAUGUAGACCACCUAGCGACGACUACAAGCACUGAAGCGAGCCGAAUGCGCGCAGUCGUCAUUGCCCCUCCCACACACGCAUACCUUACCACUAUGAGUACCUCCGACAAACUGAGGCGGCAUAUCAUCUUGAGAUGGACGAAGUCACCAAAGGCGUCUCGUAGUCGACGGGAACGUCUCCUCCCAUUAAACGCGCAUCGCAGAAAAUCCUGAAAUAAAUUCAGCAAUAAAUGUGAGCAAAAGGAUAUGAACUCUGGUGGACUGGGGAUACCACUGUCCACCUAACCAUUCAACCACAGAUUGGUAUUGCUAUGUACAAUUUGGGGUCAUGAUGACCGGAUAGCAGAUUGUGGAGCUUGUAUUUUUUUGUUUCUAUAAUAGCCGCAUGACCUGAAAGGUUUCUUUCCAUCCGGGGCAAUUAUCGUGUCAGUUAAUGGGGGGUGGGGGUGGAUAAACUGGUCACACGAUGCAUAGUUUUAACUUUCUACACCGUGAUAAAAUAAAAGGAAAUGAUUUUCUUCACCUGGCCUAUCCAUCGCGGGGCAUCCGCCGCCUCUAGUGUGCAGACGCGUGUCCUAUGUGGACCCUAUGCGUCGCUCUAUAUUUUUUCUUAUUCCCACCCAUGGUUGACCUUUGUUGAAGAAAAAGCUACAACAAGACCUCUGUUGCAAAAGUUUAUAUAUGCAGAAGACCUCUAUUUUUGCAAAAAAAAAAAGGAUUCUACAACAUGACCUAUGUUGCAAUGAUAGGCAAUAAAGAAAAAGAACAAAAGAUUAAACAAUUUGCAACAACUCUCUUGUUGCAGAAGGCAAAGCACAAUAAGGCUCAUGUUAGAUAGAUCGGAGGAAGAGAAAAAUGGUUUGAGGCUUUUUACGGUUAGUCCGUAGUUCGAAGCCUUUUGCAACAAAUCCUCUGUUGUAGAGAGACGGGUGCAACAACAUGCUUGUUGCAACUUCAUUUGCUCAUGUGAAGAAGAUGUAGUGACUUUCUUUGUCUUAGUCCGACGGCUAUGGAGGUGGACGAUCUUUUCCAUUGCUUAAACCGGCCAACACCUAGUGCAGCCCAUAAAAUAAUUCCCGGUGCCUUUCAAGCCUAUGCAACUCGUAUGGAACACACUUUCUACUCUCUUGAUGUAUGGAUUGUCUCAUCGUUUCUAGAGGAAAAUAAUUUGAAAUUGAGAGGCACGGAAGAGAUUGAUGUUUAUCAGUUGAGAAUUGAUGACAUGAAGGUGCCCCGCUGCCCACCGCAUUGCAUGGUUUUGUGUGGGCCCAUAAUAUUUCAGCACCUAUAAAUGAGCUCAGUUUGGGCAUCAUGACAUUUAUGUGUGUCAAACCACAUAUUUGUCGCGUCAUAGGCUCUCACCGAUUCCACGCCUCCCAACUAUAAACAUUCACGAAGAAUUAAAGCAUACAACCAGCCUACUAUAUCAAGUUGUGCUGAGAGCAGAGCAUCUCCAAUAACUGCCCUAUAAUAGGGCACCAAAAUUUGCUUGAAGUAAAAUUUGGGAUACAAAAAAGUGUUUUUAGGGCACGAGAAAGUGAGUGUCUCCAAAAGUUGCCCUAAAAUGGGGUAUUGAAUAGGGCACCAUUGCUCCAACAACUGCCAUAAAAAUAGGGCAACCGCACCACAUCUUUCUUCUCCACAUAUGGAUAGAAAUUAAACUUUGCAAGAUUUCCUUGAGUGUCUUCUCCACCAACAGCUGCUCACAAAAUUCAAUUACUGAACUUGAGUGUCUUCUCCACCAACAGCUGCUCAAAAAAUUCAACUACUAAAACCAAAUCUAACAGGAAGACCGACAAAAUCAAAGUAGAUACUAAAUUUGAGUGUCUUCUUUUAAUUUCUUUGUAUUGCACAGAACUACACACCAAAAUGGCAUGGGAUACAAUUUCAGCGAAUAACAAACGAAAUUGACAAGAAGUUCCUUUGUAACUUUCUUCAGUAAAAGGAACAGUGAAAGUCUGAACUUUCUGAAAACUAACACCUGCAUCUUGGCCUCUUACACUUUCGUCAGAAAAAGGAAAGCUGGAAACUGAACUUUACUAAUGAAUUACAUCGGGACUAGCAGCGGCGCAUUCAAGCAGCACCUCCACGACCCGUACAAACUCCAACAACCCAUUCUGCAGCACCACCACACAAACCACUAACUAGCCAUCAGGCUUUCAUUUAGCUUUGUACUCUCUCUGUAAACUAAUAUAAGAUUAUUUAGGUCACUAGAGGGAAUAUAUGAUAAAUGUGUUUGCUUUCGCAAAAAAAAAAAAUAUGAUAAAUGUGUUUGGAAGAGGGCUAACUUGCUUUAUUUGGAAUCGCCAAGGUGAAUCUAACUUCCUUUUUUCUUGGCAAAACAAAAUAACUGCACUAUCGUGCUACAAUCAGCAACAGAAUUGGUCACUACCCAUGCCAUGCAAUUCAGCUCAAUUCACUCUAUUAAAAAACUUCAAGUCAUAGCACGAGAAAUUUCCACUUUAAAGGAAUCGAAACAUCCUCACCACGCAACCCAGUAGAAAUGAAACAAUCCUACAUGCUCAACCCACAACAACGGAAGCUCCGAGCCGCACUAGCCCCGGGUCACCGCAAUUGCAUUUGAGAACUUAGCCAUGGCCUCGACAACAACAUUGAAGAAGGCGUCGGAGCCAAAGCCCUUUGUCUGGAUGUGCUAGCAAAGCUCCGCCACCACCCAUGGAGCUCGCUCAGCUUGGAUGGGUGGCCGGAGCCGAAUCUCGCAGGGAUAGAGAUCAAAUCGGACCUAGGGAAGAGGGGACGAGGUGAGGGGCGCUAGAGUUGGGGGAGGCAUCAACCGCAGUGAUGCUCGCAAGAGUAGAGGCAGGAAGGGCACGUGGGAAAACACCCGACCGACGAUUUUGCGACAGCGGCCCAAGUGUAGAGUUGGAUCAGCCGACGGUGAUUUGCAGGUGUAGAGGCAGGAAGGGUGCGUGGAAAACGCCCGACCGGCGGUUUUGCGACAGUACUUUAUGCUGUAUUUUUGGGCAGCGCUGGAAAUUUUGGAGCAAAUUUUACAUUAAGGGCAGGUAUUGGAGCAGUGUUUCUGGCCCCAAAUGCCCUAAAUACGUUAUGGGGAGAUUCUCUGAGUUGAUGGGGAGUUUAGGUGUUUACACACACUCCAAAUCACAAGUCUUACAACGGUUGUUUCAGGCCCUAAAUAAACACACAAAAUCUGUCAGGCAGAUUAACGUCUUACACCCACACAAACGGAAGCAAUUUGCUUGGCUUUACAUAUAUCCAAGGUAACAUUUCUAGAUCUGUUGGAGAAGCUCGUAUACAUUGGGUGCAUGUUGCAUGGAGAAGCUCAUACAAGUUAAAUGUGCAUGCUGAAUUUGGUAUCCAAGUCGAUCAGCUCAGGUACAAUGAGGAAUAUUACUUAGUUCCACAGUAUCUCUAACAAUGGUUGGAGAAGCUACACAUUUAAAUCUCAGACAUGCAUGUAUUUCGGAACGGAGGCAGUAGUUUUUUACAGAAUGUGACAUUUGGAACUAUAGACUGUUCUUUUCAACUACUCAGAAGGCUAACUAAAAUUUCAGAAACAUUUAUGAGAAAGAAAUAGAACAGCAUCACAUCAAAAAAAAAAGAUGGACGCAGGGCAGAAUUACAUAUAUCAAGAGUACUGCAAAAUUAAUAGCUGCAUAAAAUUCAGUCACAAACACAUAUAAUCCCACAUUACAUAAAACUCAGUCUUGGAACAAAACCAGACUAGCAUUAAACAGCUAAAUUGGACAGAACACAGGUAAGACAGCUUCCACAGCCAUAGCAGCAAACACGCCAGGAAUCACUAGACCAUGCCGUCCUCCCUCGAUGCCUGGCAGCCUGGAUGUAGGAUGAUGCUUCCCCUGCUCCAAGGCGCCUACUUGGAUCGCUGCCUCAUCUUUCGGCGCUUCCUCUUGAGCCUCCUCAUCCUCUUCUUCUUCCACUGCAAAUUUAAGUAACCGCACAGUUCAUCAGCACAAAUUGCGUAGUACUACUCUAGUAGAUGCAUGGCCAAAUAACAAGAAAGUACAAUUUGUUUUGGAAUCAGAAGAUUUGAGUGUUUCAUUGGAUAUCAUCACGUGAUUUUCAGAAACACGGACCAAUUGUUCUUCAUCAUUUCCCAAAGACUGACAAUGUUGAAAAGGCAAAUAGGAAACAACCAAACUAAGAUAUCUAAAGAACUAGCUAAGCAAAGUAGAGAUCUGCAGUCGGUUUGACAUUCAGAAUGAGUAGGAGGAUUUUAUCAUCAAAUGGAUCAGACGCCAAUAGUCAUCCUCAUCAUGCCAACCGACGCAAUUGAACGAAAGAAAGAACAAAUCUAGAAAGAAACACUGGCAAAGAAAACACUAUUCUCUCAGACAAAUGCCUCGAUUGUCCACAUGGUUUUAUAGAAUGGAUUACAUCGGACUCGUCAUAUGUUUUCAUCAUCACAGAGAACUAUAAACAAACAUGCGCAAAAAAUAUCAACUCAGUCAACAGAAACUACAUCCUAGAAUCUCUGAGAACAGGCAAAUCGAACUAUAAUAGCAGGUUCUCUCAGACAAAUUUGCCUCAUUUUUGUCCCCACGGUUGAAUGGAAUGGAUUGGAUCGGACAUCUAAUCAGUGUUGAUCAUCACAGAGAACCACUAAUUACGACAUCGAGCAACAGCAACAGCAGGAACGAAAGCUCGAUAAACACUAGCACAUGCCCAGAUCUACCGCGGUCGCGAAGCAGCUAAUAGGAGAGAAGGUAGACGAAGGGCAGUACGAACCUUGGCCCUCAUCGCGGCGGCGGAGUCGGCCUCGCUCUCCUUUUCGCGGCGGCGGCGGCGGAAGGGUGUGGACGAUCCCGAUCUCCGUAGAUUGUUGGCGGCGGGGGCUCUGGACUCGUACUUUAUAGGGGUGGGGUGCUGGGAAGGGGGGAAACCCUAGCGGGUGGACGGCUCGGAUCAGCCGCUGAGCGGCGUUCUGAUCCGAUUUGGUCGGUCUCUGGUUCGCAGCCCUAAUGGGCCUUCAAACCAACGUCUCGGCCCACGGUCACAUCUAAGAUGAUGGGCUUCCCUUCACCUGUUCUUAAACUGGGCCUCCUCCUCGCUUGCUUGACUCGGCCUGAUCGGUUCUGCUAAAAAGAAACAAGAAUUUCUCAUCUCAGAACUAAAAAACAAGAUGUUCUCCAUGUGUUGAUGAGGAGCUAGUUGAACGACUUGCAGGAUGCAGAUCAUGUAUCAUGUUCCACCACUGGCAAGGUUUUUAGGAGACCGCUUGUCGCACUUCAUGAGAAGAUCUUUCAGAGAGUGAAACAGGGGAGGCAAGCAUGCACUGGAGGGAAGCUCUUUUUGGAGCUAGAUGAAUAGCAACUUGCCGACUUCAACAGCUCGUUUAUACACACGUCAUGGAGACAAAAGAAUUGAUGAAAAUGCACAAACAUGACGGUAAUAACUUCAAAAAGAUGAUCACAGCUGCGCACCUCAGAAUUCAUAAAUCGCAUAAGAUUAACUCGGACAAACAACAACUACCACGAACCGAGCACUCCCCUCGGUCGCUCCCGCGGGCGACCAGGGAGUGAACCCCGCCCAGCCGCCAGCGCCUCUCACCGGCGCUCCCUCCCCUCGCCGCCGCCGGCAGGGGUCGCCGGGCGAAGCCCGCGCGGCUCGCCGACGGCAGGGCCCUCUUCCUCCUCCUCGUGGUCGCGCAGCGCGGCGCGUCACAUCGGGGGAGCUCCGACUCGUGGUCGCUGCGGGCGGCGCGGCGAGGCGACAAGGCGGCGCAGUGUGGCGGCUGAGCAGCGACGCUUNNNNNNNNNNNNNNNNNNNNNNNNNNNNNNNNNNNNNNNNNNNNNNNNNNNNNNNNNNNNNNNNNNNNNNNNNNNNNNNNNNNNNNNNNNNNNNNNNNNNNNNNNNNNNNNNNNNNNNNNNNNNNNNNNNNNNNNNNNNNNNNNNNNNNNNNNNNNNNNNNNNNNNNNNNNNNNNNNNNNNNNNNNNNNNNNNNNNNNNNNNNNNNNNNNNNNNNNNNNNNNNNNNNNNNNNNNNNNNNNNNNNNNNNNNNNNNNNNNNNNNNNNNNNNNNNNNNNNNNNNNNNNNNNNNNNNNNNNNNNNNNNNNNNNNNNNNNNNNNNNNNNNNNNNNNNNNNNNNNNNNNNNNNNNNNNNNNNNNNNNNNNNNNNNNNNNNNNNNNNNNNNNNNNNNNNNNNNNNNGCUUGGUGCGCGGGCUGACGCGGUCGGGUGUGGGGUCCCGCGGCGUGGGGCGCUAGCCCAGGGACGGCCGGAUGUGCAGCGAGCGGUCGCGGCGGAUCUGGCGCUGUGCGGCCGCGUUCGGUCGCGGGGAGGCGUGCACGGCGUGGUUACGACAGGAGAGGCCGCGGAUCUGGCAGGGUCCGCGCAUGUUUGAGAGGUGCGGCGGCUGCUGCACCACGAUGAGGAGUCGGUGGACGUCGACUGGAGAUUGUGUGUUGCGCAGUGCUUCGGAUCUGCUCGGAUUCGAAGGUUGAAAGGAUCGAUAUGGUUGACUAGAAGGGGGUAAAUAGGCAACUAACAAUUUUUAACUUUUCUUUACCAAAUUAAACUUUGCAUCAAAGUAGGUUGUCUAGAAGUGCAACUAGGUGAGCAACCUAUAUGAUGCAAUAACAACAAGCAAACAAGCAAGCAAGAGAAGUAACACUAAAGAGAUUGCACAAGUAAGGGUAAGAGAUAACCAAGAGUGGAUCCGGUGAAGACGAGGAUGUGUUACCGAAGUUCCUUCCUUUGAGGGGAAGUACGUCUCCGUUAGAGCGGUGUGGAGGCACAAUGCUCCCCAAAAAGCCACUAGGGUCACCGUAUUCUCCUCACGCCCUCACACAAUGCGAGAUGUCAUGAUUCCACUAUUGGUGCCCUUGAAGGCGGCAACCGGACCUUUACAAACAAGGUUGGGCAAUCUCCACAACUUAAUCGGAGGCUCCCAACAAUACCACGAAGCUUCACCACAAUGGACUAUGGCUCCGUGGUGACCUCAACCGUUUAGGGUGCUCAAACACCCAAGAGUAACAAGAUCCGCUAGGGAUGAGUGGGGGAAUUGAAAAUCCCUUGGUGGAAGUGUAGAUCGGGGCCUUCUCAACCACACCCGAGCAAAUCAACAAGUUUGAUUGGCUAGAGCCAGCGGUACUGCCGCUCCAGCUGGCGGUACUGCCGCGCAGAGGAGAGCAACAGGGAUCUGGACCCAGAGCGGUACUACCGCGGUGGUAAGGGCGGUACUACUGCUCCGAAACGGUACUACCGCCUCUACUGCCGCAACUAGUGCCGCAAAACCCGACACGAGAAAAGGAGCCCUCGAGUCGAGGCGGUAGGAGACAGACAGACCAGCGGUAGUACAGCUGCGGAGUCACGGGCGGUACUACCGCUGCAGAGCGGUACUGCUGCUUGUGACCCUUCGGCGGUACUACCGCUGGGUAGUGCGGUACUACCGCUGGGACACAGACAAGAGAGAGAGGAUCUCUCCGUCGAGGCUGAGGACGAGGCGGUGGUGCCAGGCAGGCCAGCGGUAGUACUGCUGUGGAGUCACCGACGGUACUACCGCUGCGGAGCGGUACUGCCGCUUGUGACUCCUCGACGGUACUACCGCUAGGUUGCACGGUACUACCGCUGGAACCCAGACAGGACACAAAAGAGAAGAGAUCUCUCCAACUAAGUGGAAGA
RNAcentral lists this long non-coding RNA (30566 nucleotides) under Triticum aestivum (bread wheat). RNAcentral describes it as "long non-coding RNA (TAES_LNC006234)". The stretch from base 8165 to 8299 matches the Rfam family "MIR1120/MIR1122 microRNA precursor family". The record is from RNAcentral. Lineage: Eukaryota; Viridiplantae; Streptophyta; Magnoliopsida; Poales; Poaceae.